UCUCCGUUGGUGAACCAGCGGAGGGAUCAUUACAGAGUUGCAAAACUCCCAAAUCAUUGUGAACGUUACCUAUCCCGUUGCUUCGGCGGGCGGCCCGGGCCCCGCGCCCGGCGCCCCCCGGCCCCCCGUGGGCGCCCGCCGGAGGUAAACCAAACCCUUGAAUUGCAUGGCCUCUCUGAGUCUUCUGUACUGAAUAAGUCAAAACUUUCAACAACGGAUCUCUUGGUUCUG
This 231-nucleotide unclassified non-coding RNA is filed under the name plant metagenome. RNAcentral's name for it is "partial contains small subunit ribosomal RNA, internal transcribed spacer 1, and 5.8S ribosomal RNA". The record is from RNAcentral.